CCUACGGGUGGCAGCAGUAGGGAAUUUUCGUCAAUGGGCGCAAGCCUGAACGAGCAAUGCCGCGUGAACGAGGAAGGUCUUCGGAUCGUAAAGUUCUGUUGAAGGGGAAAAAGAGCGGAGAGAGGAAAUGAACUCCGAUUGAUAUUACCCUUCGAGGAAGUCACGGCUAACUACGUGCCAGCAGCCGCGGUAAUACGGAGGUGGCGAGCGUUAUCCGGAAUGAUUGGGCGUAAAGGGUGCGUAGGCGGCCUGCUAAGUCUGGAGUGAAAGGUACCGGCUCAACCGGGACAGGCUCUGGAAACUGGCGGGCUAGAGAGCAGGAGAGGGCGGUGAGACUCCAUGGGUAGCGGUAAAAUGCGGAGAUAUAUGGAAGAACACCAGUGGCGAAGGCGGCCGCCUGGCCUGUUGACUGACGCUGAGGCACGAAAGCGUGGGGAGCAAAUAGGAUUAGAUACCCCUGUAGUC
RNAcentral lists this ribosomal RNA (465 nucleotides) under uncultured bacterium. RNAcentral describes it as "partial 16S ribosomal RNA". It matches the Rfam family "Bacterial small subunit ribosomal RNA", at positions 338 to 795 of the family's 1533-position model. The record is from RNAcentral.